GAUGAACGCUGGCGGCGUGCCUAAUACAUGCAAGUCGAGCGAACGGACGAGAAGCUUGCUUCUCUGAUGUUAGCGGCGGACGGGUGAGUAAAACGUGGAUAACCUACCUAUAAGACUGGGAUAACUUCGGGAAACCGGAGCUAAUACCGGAUAAUAUUUUGAACCGCAUGGUUCAAAAGUGAAAGACGGUCUUGCUGUCACUUAUAGAUGGAUCCGCGCUGCAUUAGCUAGUUGGUAAGGUAACGGCUUACCAAGGCAACGAUGCAUAGCCGACCUGAGAGGGUGAUCGGCCACACUGGAACUGAGACACGAUCCAGACUCCUACGGGAGGCAGCAGUAGGGAAUCUUCCGCAAUGGGCGAAAGCCUGACGGAGCAACGCCGCGUGAGUGAUGAAGGUCUUCGGAUCGUAAAACUCUGUUAUUAGGGAAGAACAUAUGUGUAAGUAACUGUGCACAUCUUGACGGUACCUAAUCAGAAAGCCACGGCUAACUACGUG
Molecule: ribosomal RNA, 497 nt
Filed under: uncultured bacterium
Lineage: Bacteria
Description: partial 16S ribosomal RNA
Rfam family: Bacterial small subunit ribosomal RNA
Source: RNAcentral